GGACCGAUAGCUCAGUGGUAGAGCACACGAUUGCAAAUCGUGGGGUCCCGGGAUCAACCCCCGGUCGGGCCU
Sphaerobolus stellatus SS14 is the source of this 72-nucleotide transfer RNA. It matches the Rfam family "tRNA". Rfam says of the family: Transfer RNA (tRNA) molecules are approximately 80 nucleotides in length. NCBI's taxonomy places the organism in Eukaryota, Fungi, Basidiomycota, Agaricomycetes, Geastrales, Sphaerobolaceae. The record is from Rfam.